This 231-nucleotide long non-coding RNA is filed under the name Elaeis guineensis (African oil palm). RNAcentral's name for it is "long non-coding RNA (EGUI_LNC048378)". Lineage: Eukaryota; Viridiplantae; Streptophyta; Magnoliopsida; Arecales; Arecaceae. The record is from RNAcentral.
AUGGGCAGAGUUGAAAUUAUUUCAAUCCAUCGAAAGAAGUUUCGAUGAUACUAUAAUACGGAUCACGAUAUAUCUCACUGCUGGACAGAAUAAAACUUAUAGAGUCAUACACAAUAGAGGUACUUGAUUGAUCAGAUGGUUGAUUAGUGAUUAUAAAUCGCUAUUGCAUCUAAUUAUCAAUAUGAUUGAUGAUUGAUCCAAUGCAAAAGUUACAAUAAAGUAAUUCAUCAA